AUGCAGCCGUACCAAGCUGUUCAGGCCAUAAAAUACAUCCUGCUGAAGCACUCUGACCUUGUUGUAACUCAUUUUUAAGACCUGUUCAUGAAAAAGUAACAAAUGCAUAAUAUUAAGCCAUGUUAAAGUUAUAGAACCCCUAAUAAAUGCUGCUGCAGGUUGCUCUGUGCAGUGAAAGUUCUUCACCAGACCAGGAAUGCCAGGUAACUGGAGUUUCUUUAAAGAACUGGAAUGUUUAUGUGCAGGGUGCUAAGCUUCUGCACACUGUGGUCUUUUUUUCAUGAAGGCCAGAAAGGGACAGGACUGUACUGAAGGGAAAGGGAAAUCUCUAUGGAAAAAAAAGAAUCCUCAAAAAGCCCCAAACUGACGGACAAAUUAACAAUGACAGGCUCCUUUUUCAGACACAGUAUUUGGAGCUUUGCAAUCUUUCUCCUCUGUAGGAAGAGAGUUUUGACUGCAGUUGCCUGCUAAGGUAGAGCUGAGAGAAAUCUACCAAAGGGUUUGUCAUGCUCUGCACCCUGUAUCUGAGUGCCUGCCUGGGAAGGAAAGACAUUUCCCACCAGGAUACUGGAUUUUGAAGGCUGUUGACUUUCACAUGAAUAAGGCCAGCAAAGUCCGUGGGGCUGAGUUUCCUCAGGCUGUUGUAGCUGUACAGGAUGGGUUCAGUCAGCCCCAACUCACAGCUUUUACAUCCAACCAACCCAAAACAAAAGAACCACUCUUUGGGAACGGCUAAAGAUCACUUUCUGAGCCCUGGACUAUCCUUCCCAGAGAGAAAUCUAUUUCAGCCUUUUUCCAGGGUCCGUGCUACAGGCACAACUCAUUCAGGUAAU
Molecule: long non-coding RNA, 833 nt
Organism: Serinus canaria (Common canary)
Lineage: Eukaryota; Metazoa; Chordata; Aves; Passeriformes; Fringillidae
Exons: 3
Source: RefSeq, a predicted model, not a curated record